RNAcentral lists this transfer RNA (87 nucleotides) under Candidatus Giovannonibacteria bacterium. RNAcentral's name for it is "tRNA-Ser". It matches the Rfam family "tRNA". From Rfam's summary of the family: Transfer RNA (tRNA) molecules are approximately 80 nucleotides in length. Their secondary structure includes four short double-helical elements and three loops (D, anti-codon, and T loops). Lineage: Bacteria; Candidatus Giovannoniibacteriota. The record is from RNAcentral.
GGAAGCGUGGCUGAGCGGUUGAAGGCGCCGGUCUCGAAAACCGGUAAGUCCGAAAGGGCUUCGGAGGUUCGAAUCCUCCCGCUUCCG